This 254-nucleotide ribosomal RNA is filed under the name uncultured bacterium. Its description in RNAcentral is "partial 16S ribosomal RNA". It matches the Rfam family "Bacterial small subunit ribosomal RNA", at positions 524 to 776 of the family's 1533-position model. The record is from RNAcentral.
UACGUAGGGUGCGAGCGUUGUCCGGAAUUAUUGGGCGUAAAGAGCUCGUAGGCGGUGUGUCACGUCGGCCGUGAAAACCUGCAGCUUAACUGUGGGCGUGCGGUCGAUACGGGCAUCACUGGAGUUCGGCAGGGGAGACUGGAAUUCCUGGUGUAGCGGUGGAAUGCGCAGAUAUCAGGAGGAACACCGAUGGCGAAGGCAGUUCUCUGGGCCGUAACUGACGCUGAGGAGCGAAAGCGUGGGGAGCGAACAGG